CGUCGAAGCGGGAGAGUUGGUAAAACUUUUACCGGGUUUCUCCUUGUAAUAAGUUAAUUCAUAAACAUUCGCUAUGAAAAAGUGAAGAAAUCGUUGGAAGGGUCAAACAGAAGGUAUUUUAGUCAUGGAUUUAGGUAAUAAAUUCCCAGUUGGCCGUCCAGUCGACGUGUACGUCACCCAUGUUCAAGAUGAAUCAGGAGCCUUCUUCGUGCAAAUCAACAACGAAGAGGCGGGAAAGUUGGAUGAACUGAUGGAAGAAAUUGAUUUGUUUAUNUCCAGUGGUCAAUCGCAGGCUCUACAAGGUAGUGACAUUGAGAUUGGAGUCGUUUACUUGGCNCAAUAUUCUGUCGAUGCGAAAUGGUAUCGUGCACGUGUUAAAGCUGUCAAACCUACCGGCCUCUGUGAUGUGCAUUUUAUCGAUUACGGUAAUACUGAGCAGAUCCCUGUCAAAUUUGUGCGUCGUGCUCAGCCAGCUUUCCUCCAGUUGCAUCAACAGGCGUUUCAAUGUGAGCUUGAUGGCAUAUCCAAAUUCCAAGGCCCAAGCUUCAUGAGUGCCAUUUCUACCCUGAAAGAGCUGAUUCUAGAGCAAGAGCUUGUGUGCGUGACGACGUCAGUCAAUAGGGGUAUCUUGUUGGUCAAAGUCUUUACAGAUGCAAGCUGCAAUAACUCUAUUNUUGAUAGUUUACUGUCACAGGUGCAAAGAACACCCCUUCCAGCUCCCAUCAGCAAUANUCCUGCUCCAUCAUCAAGCAGAAAAUACUCCAUUGUGUCUCUAACCAAGGGUGAAUAUCUUGACUUCCANGUUUCUCAUGUUCAAGAUCCUUACAGCUUUUCAUGUCAACUACUGGAAGAGAUUCCAAAGAUACUGGAACUUCUUGAUGAAUUAGCAGAAGAAUACAGUGAUGGAGAUGUUCCCUUGUUGUCAAGUUCUCCAGGGUACCCUUGCUGUGCAAAGUUUUAUGAAGAUGAUUGCUGGUAUAGAGCUGUAAUUACCAAUUCAAGUGGCGUUGCUUCUGGAACAAUUGAUGUUAAAUUUGUGGAUUAUGGAAACUCUCAGACGACGUCAAUUAANGAUGUGAAAGGUCUCAAAGAGAAAUACCUUGAUAUUCCCAUGCAGGCAAUUGAAUGCUCACUUUAUGGUGUGCAGCCAGAGGGUAAGAACCCAGAUUGGUCUUCACAGGCUAAAGAGUUAUUCUCAAAGCUGACUAGUGAGAAGCAUAUCAUUGCUGAAAUAUGUGANCAGNAUUCNAGUGGAAAGUAUCAAGUAAGACUGACUGAUAUGACAGGCGACAUGGAUAUGCAGCUGGAUCAGAUUCUGAUUGCAGCCAAGUAUGCUGAGAAGGUUUCCACAAAUACUUCAUUGAAAACUCAAGUCAGUCAGCAUAGUAAUGUACAAGUGUCCAANCCCAGUNCUGAGCCNCCAAAACCUAUUUUCCCCUUCACUAAAGAGGCGAUUUCUCCAGGUAAAGAAGAAAAAGUUCUUGUCUCGUCAAUACANAGCCCAUCUGAGUUUUACUGNAUGUUGUACAGAACAUCCUCUAAGCUUGAAAAGCUAAUGGCUGAUAUUGCAAGGCAUUACUCAGGACUUAGUCGAGAUGAUGAAUGGCUUUCUUCGCCAUCAGUUGGUGACCCUUGCUGUGCCAGGUUUUCUGAUGAUCAAUCAUGGUACCGAGCUAUUGUUAAAGAUGUUCAAAGUUCUGGUAAAGUAAAAGUACAGUUUAUAGACUAUGGAAACUAUGAUACAGUAAUACCUAAAGAUGUCAAGAGAUUAGCACCUCAAUUCUCUGAGCUUCCUUAUCAAGCUAUAGGCUGCACAAUGCAUCGUAUAUGCCCAAAUGGUCAAGACUGGAGACAUAUGGACACAAAAAAAUUUGAAGAGUUAGCUUUGGAAUACACUGGAAAGUUAACGNUCAUUUCUGAGAAUUCAGAUGGAAUGAAAAAUGUGGAGCUGCUGAUCAGUUUGAAGGGCAAAGAAGUUAAUGUUGCAGAAGCUAUGCUUCUCAGUGGUAAUGCAAGGCUGGUAGAAGGAGCAUGUUCACNGUCAGAAAACCUGGCAAGUAUUUCUUCAAAGANGUUCCCUAAGCUUAAUCUACCACUAGGGACAUAUGAAGAUAUUUUUGUUACACAUGUGGAUGAUCCAGCUAAUUUCUGGUGCCAGUUGGUCAAACACAAAGAUGAACUUGAUGCAGUAAUGAAUGCUGUGGAAGAGCAUUGCACUUUAUUGAACACUCCAUUACGAGCACCUAGUUUAGGGCUUGCUUGCUGUGCUCAGUUUAGUGAUGAUGCAUGGUAUCGUGCAAAUAUCAGNGGAGUCAUGAAGAACCAUCAAGUUGAAGUCCAUUUCAUUGACUAUGGAAACUAUGAUACCAUACCUUUAUCAAAACUNAGAACCGUCAAACCAGAAUUGAUGAAUUUNCCAGCACAAGCCUUCAAAUGUCGUCUAGAGCAGAUGGACACUAAGAACUCUGCUCCAUUCUCCCAUGAUGUGAUUGACAAGUUUAUUGAUCUAACAGUUGAUAAAGAAUUGGUUGGUAUGAUAGCUUCAUAUGAUGAAUCAGCUCAGCAGUACUUAAUUUCCUGUACUGACACAAGUGGUGGCAAUACUCUUGAUGUUUAUGAGCAGAUUGCAUCUUCAUUGCCUCAAAGCAGCGUAAAAGAGUGCAUAAUUCCCAAGCAAGACCUCAAACCAGGUCAGCGAGAACAUGUUUGUAUCACAACUGUAACUGGACUAUCAAAGUUUUAUUGCCAGCUAAUGCGAAGUGCUUCUCAGUUUGAUGCCAUGAUGAACAACCUGGAUGAACACUACAACAAGCUGACAACAANGCAGGAAGACAUGUCCGGACUACAACCUGGGAAUUACUGUGCUGCCAAGUACUCUGAAGAUAACAGCUGGUACAGGGCCAAAAUCAUUGAUUCUAAGAUCAAUGUGCUUUAUGUAGACUUUGGAAAUGGUGAGCAGUUGUCAGCAAAGUCAAUCAAGAGGUUAGUUCCAAUGUUUGCUCAGCUUCCUGAGCAAGUUUUGCUGUGUACUUUGGCAGGAGAUACAAGUGGUUUUUCGGACUCUCAGUUCAUUGACUUGACAUUGGAUAAAGAGUUUGACAUGGAGAUCAUGUCAUUUGAUAACAAUGGUACAGCCAAAGUCAAUCUUUACACAAAAGCUGAAAAGAAACCUAUUAUUCAACUUCUGACAAAAGAGAAACCUAAACCAAUGGUCAAUAUCCAACCAAACUCUCUUGCUGCUGGUGCCAAAGAAACUGCCUAUGCUACAUUUGCAGUAGAUAUAUCAAAGUUUUAUGUUCAGUUGUCCAAGUCAGGAGAUUCUCUUGCAGAACUAAUGAAUGAGAUUCAUGAAUACUACAGCAAACUUGCAGAGACACAAGAUGGUUUAGAUAGUCCCCAAGUUGGUAUGUUUUGUGUAGCAAACUUUAGUGAAGACAAUGGAUGGUACCGUGCUAAAGUGGUAGCUGUUCAUAGUGACAGCAUAGAAGUAUUGUACAUAGAUUAUGGUAACUCUGAGGUGAUUCCUCUNUCAAGAGCCAAGGUAUUAAAGCCAGAGUUCGCCAGCUUGCCUUCUCAGGCACUUCAUUGUAAAUUGUCUGGAGUGGCAUCAAUCAGUGAUGAUGAAAGUGCUGGGAAGUUCUUGAAGCUUGUAGAAGACCCAGAAAUGCCUUUUGANCUUCAAGUUGUUGCUGUUCAACCAAGUGGUGUCCAUGAAGUCAUNCUUGUCAACAAAGAAACUGGAACAUCAGUUAAUCAAGAAUUAUCGGGGAAAAGUGUUGUGUCUGACAUAAGUAAAGUAACCUCAGUUAGUCCAGCAAGUCUGAAUCCAAUACCUCUAACUAUUGGAGAAACCUAUGAUGGACAAAGUGGAGUNGCUUCAUCNCCUUCNCAGUUCUGGUUCUCACUUAACAAAUAUGUUGAUGACCUUAAUGCAUUGCUUGAUGAAAUGGCAGAGUACUAUUCAUCACUUGGUCCAGCUGAUGGUGUUCUGUCUUCANCUUCUGUUGGUUCAUAUUGUUGUUGUCAAUACAGUGUAGAUUUGGGAUGGUACAGAGCAAAGAUCAUGUCUCUCACUGGCAGCCAAGCUGAAGUUUGUUUUGUGGAUUUUGGCAAUUCUGAAAAGGUUGCAUUGAAUGAAUUGAAGGUCUUAAAGGAUAACUUUCAGAGUCUACCUAUACAAGCAAUAUCCUGCUCUCUCAAUAAAGUAACCCCAACAGACAGUGUGUGGAGUGAAGACGCUAAGACUGCUUUUAGUGAUCUUAUUGUUGAGAAAGAUGCUGUCAUCAAAGUCAUCAAGAAAUCAUCUGAUAAUUGUUAUGUUGUGGACUUACUAGAUGUGAAUGGACAACACUUUGCUGCUGACAUGUUAAAUAGCAAAGGUUUUGCAGCAAGCUCCNUNCAGCAGGGUUCCAUUCAAGAUUUCAAACCAUUUGUGAANAACUUCAACUCUGGAGACUACAUAGAUGUCAACCCANUAUAUUGCGUAACUCCUCAUGACUUCCAUUGCCAAGUAUUAACUCAAGAUAACAUUGUAGCAUUCAAUCAGAUGACAAACCAACUACAAGACGUCUACUCUUACAUGGGUCCUAGUGAGAACACAAUUGGUACACCUUCUAAGGGCAUGCCCUGCUGUAUACUUUACCCAGCUGACAAUACUUGGAACAGAGGAAGAAUUGCUCAAGUCAACAAUGACAACACUCUAAAGGUUACCUUUGUGGACUAUGGAAAUGAAGAGACUGUACUCUUAAAUCAAGUUAAAGUGCUUCAGCCAGAAUUCCUGGAUCUUCCUGUUCAAUCAAUUCAUUGCAGCUUGCACUCUGUAAAACCAUGUACAAAUAACCAAUGGUCUGAUGUUGCUGUGAAAAGAUUCCUUGAACUUGUUGAUCAGAAACACUUAGUAGGAGAGGUCAUCGAUGCAGGUGGUGACAAGUUAUCCAUUGAACUCUACGACACCAUAGAUGACUCUGUAGAUGUCAGCAUUGCUCAAGUUCUCAUCAGUGAAAACCAUGCUGUCUCAACAUCACAACAAACCAAGAUAUCACACCCUAAGAUUUCUAAACUCUCUCAGUUAGUACCAUCCAAUGGAGACACUGUAUAUAUAACUGCUGUGGAUUCACCUGAAAAUAUCUACUGUCAACUCAGUGGAACAGAAGACAGAAUUGAUAACUUAAUGGCAAACUUGAAAGAAUUUUACGAAUCUGGACAACAAGAAGCUUUACAAUCAAUUUCACCCAANGAAUUGUGCGUUGCCUUGUUUUCUGAAGAUGGUGUGUGGUACAGGGCUGUAGCUGAAGAGGUUUCACCAGAAGGAAUCACNGUCAGAUUCAUUGAUUAUGGUAACUCNGAAACAUUGAGCUUAGGCAGUAUUAGGGCCAUUGAUAACCAAUUCCUAUCUGAGCAAAUACUUGCAAUAGANUGUGCUCUUUCUGGUNUCUUACCUGUAAAUGAUGACAUAGAAUGGAGUCCUGAAGCUGCAGAUUUCCUGGCUACUGCUGGAGGUGAUGAUGGCUUUACUUUGAACAUCAAAUCAGCCAAAGAUACNCUAGAGGUUGGUCUUAGUGAUAGUGGUGGUGAUCUUUCACAGAGAUUAGUGAAUGAAGGCCUUGCUAAAUCAACUAUUGCCUCUUCUGUGAGCAAUAUUGCACAAGCACCACCACAGCCUAGUAUUGCAGGCAACUACAAGGCUACCCCAGUAACUAUUGGAACNGNNAUGGAAGUNUAUAUCACNGAUGUGACAUCACCAGGACAGUUUUANUGUCAGCUUGCAGAUUAUGGAGACAGNCUGGAUGAGAUGAUGAAUAGUAUAAGCAACCACUACAGUAACAUGGACCAAUCACAAGCUUGCGUGUCAUCACCUGAAGUUGGACAGCCUUGUAUUGCAAUCUUUGAAGAAGACAGUAUGUGGUACCGUGCAAAGGUUGAGUCAGUGUCACAGCUUCAUACUACCAUACGAUUUGUUGAUUAUGGCAACACUCAAAAUGUCAAAGUCUCAGAUUUAAAGCAAAUUGAAGCACAGUUUUUGAAGCUGCCAGCUCUUGCAGCUCUUUGUACAGUUGAUCCAAAAAAGGCUACUUGGACAGCAGAUGAAACUGAGAAUUUCAAGGCUGUUACUGGUGAAGAGAAAGUGUCUGCUGAAGUCAUUGGAAAGGAAGGUGACAGAUAUGUUGUAAGGAUUUCACAAGGGGGAAGCUGUGUUACUGAUAGUUUCUUAAAAACCUCAGCUCAUCUAGAUAUCCCAUGCCAAGUUAUCCAANCAAACCAGACAGAAAAUGUGUAUGUAGCAUUUGCCAAAAGUUCCUCAGAGAUUUGUGUACAACUUGCAUCUUACAGUGACCAGUUGGACCAAGUUAUGGCAACCAUCGAGCUUGAGAUCAAAAGUCAACCUACAUUAAAGGAAGACCAAGUUGUUCCAGGAAUGCUNUGCUGUGCAUAUUUUGAAGAUGGAUGGUAUCGAGCAGUAAUAACAUCGCAACCAAACCAAGGACAAGUUAUGGUAGAGUAUGUUGACUAUGGAAACACAGCUUCACUUGCAGCUUCUGAGCUCAGGGCAGUACCCCAGUCUUGUGUUGCACUUCCAAGGCAAGCUCUUCACUGUAUUUUAGAAGGACAAGGUCUUGAGAAUGUGUCAAAAGAUACUCUAGAGAAUACACUAAUGGAAAGCAGAUUGACAGCAACAUUUCUUAGGACAGAUGGCCAGCACUGGACAGUAAACUUGAAACAAGAUGGUGUCGAUGUUACAGACAUACUACUAAUAAACACUGAGGUUGUUAUCAAAGAUCCUAACUUUACUUACCCUGAGAUAGUAGCUGGGUCUANUGCUCAGGUGUUUGUCAGCCAUAUUGAGAAUCCUGGAGAAUUUCAUAUUCAAUUCAAGUCAUCGACAGAUAAACUGGAUGUUCUAGGNAGCAAACUCAAUGAAGNUUANNGUCAGCCUGGUNUAACAUGUAAUGUUGAGGUUGGACGUGUUUGUUGUGCACAGUUCUCCGAGGAUGGGUGUUGGUAUAGAGGAACUGUAACAUCACUUCAGGAUGACUCACAUGUACAAGUCCAUUUUNUAGAUUAUGGGAACUCUGAUGUAGUAGAUAAAGGAAAGGUUAUGGUGCUUAAAGAAGAAUUCCUUGAACUCCCCAUUCUUGCUAUCCAGUGUAGUCUUGAUUCACCUGGAACUCAGUGGUCUGAUGGAGAGUUGAGCAAGUUUGAAGCCUUNGUACUUGACCAGGAACUUACUGUACAGUUUUUGGCCAGACAAGAUAACCAGUGGCAUGUUAAACUNACCUGUCUCGAGACAUCAAUCUUAGAGUUNAUGAGAAGAGUAGAAGAAACCAAUGUAGAUGUCAUUCUGGAGACGUUGACCAUACCAAAAAAGGAAGUUUCAGAGGGUCUGGUUGUUNAAUGUGUUUUAACUCAUGCAGAACUCACUGGAUUGUUCCACUUACAAUUCCUCUCCGAUCCCUUCCUAGAACAUGUUACUGACAUUAUUUCUGACCACUACCCUUCUUUGUGGGCCAAAGAAAGCUGUCUUAAUGACUGCCAAGUUGGGUCAUUCUGCUGUGUCAAGUUUUCAGAAGAUGAACAGUGGUACAGAGCAGUAGUUACUGGACUUUGCUCCAACUUUGAUGCUAUNGUGAAAUUUAUUGACUAUGGAAACUCAGAGGUUGCAGACAUUCCUUCUUUCAAGACUUUGUUGGAUGAACUGUAUNAAAUUCCACAGUGUUCUAUCCCUUGUAAGUUGGCUGGCAGGAAGUCAGAAUUGUCUCCAGAUGAGAUUGAGGCACUUCAAGCUCAAAUGCUUGACAAAACACUAAGUGUUACAUUUGUGAGGCCCAAUGAUCAAGGAUGGGAUGUUGUAAUUGAAGUUGAAGGGAAAUUUUUGAAUGAGUUUGAAGCAGUCACAGAUGAUNAUAAAGAUGAAGCAAAGCAGUUGAGUGUAGCCACAUUGUNAAGGGAUACUAGACAAGGUGUCAAGUUCCUUAUGGCAGAUAAUGAAAGUACAGUUUGGNUUCAACCAGUGAUAACAGAGAAUGAACUUAACACCCUAAUGAACAGUAUUGCUGAAAAUCCUCCAGAUCAACCAAUGCCNNUGUCUGAAAUCUCCACUGGAAAGCUUUGCUUGUGUAGAUUCACAGAAGAUAAUGAAUGGUAUAGAGCUAAAGUUAUUGACUGCAAUCAUGAUCAAGUGACUGUAAACUAUGUAGACUUUGGCAACACAGAGACUGUUGGUGCUGUUAGAGUAAGCCCAAUCAGNGAAUNUUACUUACAACUUCCAGCACAGGCUAUCAAGUGNAGUCUUUAUGGUGUUGAGCCACUGAGNGAAGAUAUUUUGAACAAACUGAAUGAGGAAUAUUUUGAAGUUCAGCUUGAAGCAGAAGUUGUCGAGANAAAAGAGAACGUGGACUCUGUCAGAUUGUUUAAAGAAGAUAAAGAGUUGAUUUUAAACCUCGUUGAAAUGAUGAGUGUUUGUAAGGAACCAGUGCCUGCAGCCAGCCAGCUUCCACUUAAUGAACCCAUUGAAGANGCUACUACUGAAAAUGAGGUGGAAAAACAACAGGAAGGUGACAAUGGAAGUGCUUUGGAAGAAAUUGCUAUUUCAGAUCAACCCAUUGAUUCCAAUGAGAAUUCGUCACUUGCUGUCGACUCGAAAAAAGAAAAUAUGGUCGCCAUAGGAGCUGAGACUUCGACAAGCUUGCAUCCUUUGGAUCAAGAUGAUUCCAAAAGUGAGUUUGAAAAAAAGAAUGAGGUUAUUACAGAACUGAGUAAGGAAGAAUUAGCAUAUUACUCACAAGAAUGUGAUGUAGGUGAAAACACUAGAAUAGAGACAACUCAUGUUUCUCUACCAGUGACAACAGAGAAAGAUCUGGACCACCAUGAGGACAUUUCUUGUGAGAAAAAACAAAAUGGUCUCGUUGAUGAAAAAAAGGUUGAGUCUUCUACUGAAAUAGUAACCUCUGCUGCUGAUUUAGAUUCUAUUGUGAAAGAUGGUAUAGAAGGUGAAAGUAUUAAUGGUGAUUUAUCAAUUCCUACAAAAAUUGAAUCCGAUUUGGAUGCUGCUGUGCAAGAACAAACAGAAUUCAUGGCUUUAUCUAAUGACGACGAGCAGAUGAUAACACAAACAGCACAAGAUAAAGUAAAAGAUGAAAAUGCAGAUGCUUAUGUUGCGGCCUCACAAAGUGAAUGCACUGAACCAAUCUUGUCAAAAGAUGCUGAUGACAAAAUCAUGGAGAUUCCUGAAAACUCAGCACAGGAAAUAGAAUCUGAAGAGAAAGAAAAAGAAGUUCACCAAUUACUUCAAGUUUGUGAAGAGACUGUUCCUGGAACUGAUGCAUUAGAAAAGAAUGAAACAAUGGAGGCAAAUGAGCAGAGCUUNCAAGUUCAAAAACAGGAUGCAAGUGAAAAUCUUCAAGUGCAAAUUAAAGAAAACGAGGAUAUGAUGUCAGAAACCAAUGAAGAGAAUAAAAUAUUGAAAGAUGAUGACACAAGUGAAAGAGUUCAAAGUAUCAAUUCAAAUGAAGAUCUUCAAACACAAGCCACAGAAGUGGAAGAUGAUGAAGCCAUGUUAGAAAGUAAUUCUGAGCUGAAAUCAUCAGAGGCUUAUGACACAAGUCAAUCAGCUGAACGACUGGAUUCACAUGAAGANAACCAAACANAAGCNGCUGAAGAAAAUAAAGAUGGAGCAGAUGCGACAGAAAGCAAGACAGAAAAUAUAACAUCAGAGGGUGAUGACACAAGCCAGCAAGCUCAAAGCCUGGAUUCACAUGAAGACAACCAAACACAAGCUGCUGAAGAAAAUAUAGAUGGAGCAGAUGUGACAGAAAGCAAGACAGAAAAUAUAACAUCAGAGGCUGAUGACACAAGCCAGCAAGUUCAAAGCCUGGAUCCACAGGAAGAAAACCAAACACAAGCUGCUGGACAAAAUGAAGAUGAAGCAAAUGUGUUAGACAGCAAGGCAGAAAAUAAAACAGUAGAGACUUAUGACACAAGCCAGCAUGUUCAAAGCCUGGAUUCACAUGAAGAAAGCCAAACACAAGCCACUGAAGAAAAUGAAGAUAGAGCAGAUGUGGUAGAAAGCAAAACACAGGCUUGUGAUACAAGCCAGCAAGUUCAAAGCGUGGAUUUACAUGAAGAUAGCCAAACACAAGCCUCUGAACAAAAAGAAGAAACAAAGAUAAUAGAUGAGAACAAAAAAACACCAGAUGUUGAUGAAACAGUUAAUCAAGUUCAAGGCAUGGUUUCUCAUGAAGAUCAACAAACACAAGCCAAUGAACAAGAAGAGGAUAGAAGUGAUAUAUCAGAAAAUAACUGCAACAAUGAAACCUUGUCUGUCAACACACCUCAAAGCCUGUAUUCAACUGACGAAAAAGCUACUGAAGAAAAAGAGGAAGUCACCGAUAUGUUAGAAGAAGUCAAAGAUGAAAAAUUUGUGACUUCUGAACAAAUUACACAAGAAGAAGACACANGUGCAAAUAAGCAUCUUCCAGAAACUGAAGAGAAAGAAGGAGAUAAAGUCCAGUCUAAGGAUGAAGACAUUGAAGCAGCUGUAUCUGAAUCUUCUAUUGAACAUGACACACAAAAAGAUGAUGAAGGUAAAGCCAAAGNUACAACAAGUGCUGCUAUUGAAAGUAAAGAAGAUGACAGCCUUCCAAUGGAAUUAGGUUCUUCAGAACAGGAAAGUGAACAAGAGGAGGUAAAAGCCUCAAAUGGACACAUCACUAAUGGAAAAACAAACCCAUGUGACAUUGACAGUGCUACUGAUGAUAGUGAUGCUCAUAAUGAUGGUUGCUUGUCAGAUUCAGCUUUGGAGAAGCUGGACAACUUGCUGGAAGGACCUGAAGCUGAAGAGUUUAGCCAAGGAGCAGAAGGACGUAUGAAAAAUAAAAAGUCAUGUCAGCCUAUGUGAACCUUGCUAGAAGAGAGACAUUAAAAUGCUUAAAAGCAUUUCUGUUACUGUUAUUAUUUAGCAACAGUGCAAAGCAAGCAAGCAAUUGUUUUCUAUAGAGCUAUAUAUUAAGUAAUAGUUAUUGACUGUCUUUUAAUGAAAGAUUCUGAUAAUAUACACAUCCAACCUUUCCUGGCAUCCCGUUCAAUGGGUUAUUGAACUUAAAAAUUAGUCUCUAAAGUUUUGUUUAUUUCAUAAGACAAUGGGAAAGACGAGGAAAAUAUACUGAGAUUUGCAUCAAAAAGUAUGUACAUGUGCUAACAGUUUUGAUGGUCAUACCAGGCAUUGGGUGAGAAUGUUAAUUGAAUGCAUUUUGUUGUGCAAAAUUCCCAUUAUUUCUCUGUGAUAAUUCCAUAUGCAAUCCACAUAUUUAAUCUGGUUGACAACUUUGUGCAUCAUUGAACACUAGUUUUAAUUCAACUAACGUCUUGACAAGUUGGUAUUUGAUUCAGACUAGUACUCUUGAAGGUUUUAUAAAAAUCUGUUGUUUAGCACAUAUAUUUUUUACUAAACCCUCAAAACUCUUCAGAAAAAAGUGUAGAAGUUUUUUUUUUUGGCAUGUUUGUUCCCUGUGGAGUGUGAACAUAUAUUUAAUGGUACAUCCAGAAAAAUCCUAUUGCUUUAUGUAUAAGGAAGAAAAAUUGUUUAAUCCAUAAUGAUUAUAAUUUACUAAUAAUUGUCUUAUGGUAUGAUUUAAGUGUGCCCUUUCAUUAACAUAUAGAGUUAUAUCAGGAUNUAGAAUGGACCCAUUUUCAGAAGCUGCAGUCAUUUUUGAGCCUAUUUUCUAAUCAUAUCAAUUGCUUGCUAUUCUGAAUAGUCUUUUCGAUAUAUUCUAUUAUAUAAAUGUUUUCUUGAUUGCCAUGAUUGUGAUUAAUGAAAAAGUGAUUGUUAAGUUGGUGUAAAUAUGUAAGUUAGAGUGGUUAUCAUAAGAUCAUGAAACAAGGUGUAUUUAUUUACUUGUAAAGAUUUUUUGUAAAAAUAUGAACAAUUUUAUAUAGUCUUGUAUUUCUGGUGAGUGCUUCAAAUUUUGAAAGAUUUGAUAAUUCAAAUACAGUAGGUUUUCAAGGCAUGCUUACCCCAAAUCUUUUUGAGCUUGCAAUUACUACAAAAAGUAACAUGUAUUUAUGACAAACCACUCUAAUUUCAUAAUUCCUUGUUCAUGUUUUGACACAACAUUUUACAGAACAAUGCUUAUAAGUAUAAAGUUUAUAAUAAUAUAUAGUUUUUCAAAGUUAAAUAGUAAUAUUAAAAACAUCCUGCACAGCUAGAGUGCAAACACUAAAANCAUGAAAGAACGAAUCAAAUAGUUCAACACAGUGUAGAUUAUACAAAGGAAAACAUAGGAAUNAGGAUAAUUGGUACAAUUCAGCACUAUUUGGUAAACUUGUUCAUGGUCUUAGUGUUUGCACUUGAUUUCUUUGACAGUGAAAGUUUCUAAUNGAGAUAUUUUUGUAUACCAAUACGUUUAUACAAAAAUGUAUUUCUAAAACAAAAAACAGUAUUGCUAUAAUAACCAUUAAACAUCCUAUUUACUUGA
This 12470-nucleotide unclassified non-coding RNA is filed under the name Exaiptasia diaphana. Its description in RNAcentral is "uncharacterized LOC110252224, transcript variant X2". The record is from RNAcentral. Lineage: Eukaryota; Metazoa; Cnidaria; Anthozoa; Actiniaria; Aiptasiidae.